UAGACUCUGUCCUCCUCAAAAAAAAAAAGUAAGCGGAAAAAUACAGUAUGUAACCUUUAGGGAUUGACUUUUUCCCUCUGCAUCAUUCUCUUGAGAUUCAUCCAAAAAAUCAGAAAUGAAACAUUGCAGAUACAGCUGAAGCCUGCUCCUCCUCCUUGUGCCUCUGUCCUCCUUCCCCAGAAGAUUCUUGUCAGGAGGCACAGGUUACCCAAUGCAAGGGUCCACAGGCACUUUCACCUAAGUUUCUGCCACAGCUCCACAUGAAGCCAAGUAUGAGAAUGAUGCCUGUUUCCUGCCCACCCAGAGCUUGUCAUCAGAUGCAUGGCUAAGUGGUAAAGCCAUUUCCUUCCUCCUGACACAGCCAGAAAUUUCAAGCCCUAUUUGCAACAUAGCAGUGUGAAAUCUCUGGCAGGUGCAGAUGGCACGGCUGCAAGUGCCAGAACUCUAUGUGGACUCUUCAGGGGAGGAAGACACUUCUAUCCCACUGGGCAGGAAACUCACAGUGGUUGUGUCACAGUCCUGCCUGUACCUUUGCAUCCAGAGGAAACUGUGAGGCUUCGUUGGGGCAGAGACUGUGGCAGCAAAAGGAAGAAUUUGCCAGAGCCACUUACAACAAAGGAGGAUGUGAUCUCGGGAAGUUUGCACCGCACCUCUCUCCCUUCUGGCACAUACAACUUCAUAUUCCCUCUUGGAUUCAUAACAGCAUAGUUAAUGACCUAUAUCUAAAAGAUGGCUGGACCUAUAGACUGAAGAUUCACACCCAUCCAAAACCAUCAGCAAAGCUUUCAAUUCCUAUGGGAAGUGCAAGCCUGGGUUCAUAUAGUGCUCCCUCUUAGUCUAACUUGCUAUAAAUUUUACCUGAACAAUAGAAGAGCUAUUUGCAGAGUCUCUGGAGGAACAUAUUGCAACCAUAAAUAUUAAUGAUAAUGAACCUGGAAAGACCAGCUUAAUAAAAUAGCUGAAAAUGAAUUUAUACAUCAUUAGCAUUAUGAGCUCCCAAAUCUUCAUCUCUGAACAGCUGGACUAUCCCAGUAGAGGAUGAGCAGGAACCCACGUAGAUCUCCAGAGCGGUGCCUCCUGCAGACCCUUUUACUGGGUAUGUUCUGGCUUUUGAAAUACAUUACCUAUUCUCUUCUAAAGCCAAAAUUACUACAGACUAAGGCUGGACACUUUGUCUCCCCUCUUGGUCUUUGAAAAAUUACAAUUAUCCCCAAUUUGUGUUUGAUAUGGGGCAAAAUAUCUCCACUCUUUUCGUGUUAGAAAA
RNAcentral lists this long non-coding RNA (1264 nucleotides) under Homo sapiens (human). Its description in RNAcentral is "HSALNT0387191". The record is from RNAcentral. Lineage: Eukaryota; Metazoa; Chordata; Mammalia; Primates; Hominidae.